Molecule: ribosomal RNA, 266 nt
Filed under: uncultured delta proteobacterium
Lineage: Bacteria; Deltaproteobacteria
Description: partial 16S ribosomal RNA
Rfam family: Bacterial small subunit ribosomal RNA
Source: RNAcentral
CGGCGUGCUUACACAUGCAAGUCGUACGAGCAACGCUUCAGCUUGCUGGAAGCAAGUAAAGUGGCGCACGGGUGAGUAACGCGUGGGUAAUCUACCCUUGAAUCGGGGAUAACGUUGCGAAAGCGACGCUAAUACCGGAUGACAUCUUGAGAACCCUUGGUUUUUUUGAUCAAAGGUGGCCUCUCCAUGGAAGCUACUGUUUGAGGAUGAGCCCGCGUCCCAUUAGCUAGUUGGUAGGGUAACGGCCUACCAAGGCGACGAUGGGU